Molecule: ribosomal RNA, 109 nt
Filed under: Acanthosepion pharaonis
Lineage: Eukaryota; Metazoa; Mollusca; Cephalopoda; Sepiida; Sepiidae
Source: RNAcentral
UAGCCAUAUCACAUUGAAACACUGGUUCUCAUAUGAUCACCAAAGUUAAGCAACAUUGACCCUGGUCAGUACUUAGAUGGGUGCCUGCUUGGGAAUAUCAGGUGUAGUA